GGUACAAUGCGAAGCGAAGCAGUGAUGUGAAGCAAAUCGCACCAAAGCCAGUCCCAGUUCGGAUAAGAGGCUGAAACUCGCCUCUUUGAAGUCGGAAUCGCUAGUAAUCGCAGAUCAGCAUGUUGCGGUGAAUACGUUCCCGGGUCUUGUACACACCGCCCGUCAAACCAUGAGAGUCACCAACACCCGAAGUCCGCCUUGGCGGCCUAAGGUGGGGGAGAUGAUUGGGGUUAAGUCGUAACAAGGUACC
RNAcentral lists this ribosomal RNA (250 nucleotides) under uncultured bacterium. Its description in RNAcentral is "partial 16S ribosomal RNA". It matches the Rfam family "Bacterial small subunit ribosomal RNA", at positions 1236 to 1500 of the family's 1533-position model. The record is from RNAcentral.